GACGAACGCUGGCGGCGUGCUUAACACAUGCAAGUCGAACGGAAAGGCCCUGCUUUUGUGGGGUGCUCGAGUGGCGAACGGGUGAGUAACACGUGAGUAACCUGCCCUUGACUUUGGGAUAACUUCAGGAAACUGGGGCUAAUACCGGAUAGGAGCUCCUGCUGCAUGGUGGGGGUUGGAAAGUUUCGGCGGUUGGGGAUGGACUCGCGGCUUAUCAGCUUGUUGGUGGGGUAGUGGCUUACCAAGGCUUUGACGGGUAGCCGGCCUGAGAGGGUGACCGGCCACAUUGGGACUGAGAUACGGCCCAGACUCCUACGGGAGGCAGCAGUGGGGAAUAUUGCACAAUGGGCGGAAGCCUGAUGCAGCAACGCCGCGUGCGGGAUGACGGCCUUCGGGUUGUAAACCGCUUUCGCCUGUGACGAAGCGUGAGUGAGGGUAAUGGGUAAAGAAGCACCGGCUAACUACGUGCCAGCAGCCGCGGUGAUACGUAGGGUGCGAGCGUUGUCCGGAUUUAUUGGGCGUAAAGGGCUCGUAGGUGGUUGAUCGCGUCGGAAGUGUAAUCUUGGGGCUUAACCCUGAGCGUGCUUUCGAUACGGGUUGACUUGAGGAAGGUAGGGGAGAAUGGAAUUCCUGGUGGAGCGGUGGAAUGCGCAGAUAUCAGGAGGAACACCAGUGGCGAAGGCGGUUCUCUGGGCCUUUCCUGACGCUGAGGAGCGAAAGCGUGGGGAGCGAACAGGCUUAGAUACCCUGGUAGUCCACGCUGUAAACGGUGGGUACUAGGUGUGGGGUCCAUUCCACGGGUUCCGUGCCGUAGCUAACGCUUUAAGUACCCCGCCUGGGGAGUACGGCCGCAAGGCUAAAACUCAAAGGAAUUGACGGGGCCCCGCACAAGCGGCGGAGCAUGCGGAUUAAUUCGAUGCAACGCGUAGAACCUUACCUGGGUUUGACAUGGAUCGGGAGUGCUCAGAGAUGGGUGUGCCUCUUUUGGGGUCGGUUCACAGGUGGUGCAUGGCUGUCGUCAGCUCGUGUCGUGAGAUGUUGGGUUAAGUCCCGCAACGAGCGCAACCCUUGUUCACUGUUGCCAGCACGUUAUGGUGGGGACUCAGUGGAGACCGCCGGGGUCAACUCGGAGGAAGGUGGGGAUGACGUCAAGUCAUCAUGCCCCUUAUGUCCAGGGCUUCACGCAUGCUACAAUGGCUGGUACAGAGAGUGGCGAGCCUGUGAGGGUGAGCGAAUCUCGGAAAGCCGGUCUCAGUUCGGAUUGGGGUCUGCAACUCGACCUCAUGAAGUCGGAGUCGCUAGUAAUCGCAGAUCAGCAACGCUGCGGUGAAUACGUUCCCGGGGCU
RNAcentral lists this ribosomal RNA (1346 nucleotides) under uncultured bacterium. RNAcentral's name for it is "partial 16S ribosomal RNA". It matches the Rfam family "Bacterial small subunit ribosomal RNA", at positions 28 to 1381 of the family's 1533-position model. The record is from RNAcentral.